UGGCUGCAGCAAGGAAUAUUGUGCAAUGGGCGAAAGCCUGACACAGCGACGCCGCGUGGGGGAAGACGGCCUUCGGGUUGUAAACCCCUUUUCUCAGGGAAGAAUAAUGACGGUACCUGAGGAAUAAGUCUCGGCUAAAUACGUGCCAGCAGCCGCGGUAAUACGUAUGAGGCAAGCGUUAUCCGGAUUUACUGGGCGUAAAGAGGGCGUAGGCGGCUUUUCAAGUCGGAUGUAAAAUCUCCCGGCUUAACUGGGAGGGACCAUUCGAUACUGCUGGGCUAGAGUGCAGCAGAGGAAGGCGGAAUUCCCGGUGUAGUGGUGAUAUGCGUAGAUAUCGGGAGGAACACCAGUGGCGAAAGCGGCCUUCUAGGCUGUAACUGACGCUGAGGCCCGUAAGCGUGGGGAGCAAACAGGAUUAGAUACCCCUGUAGUC
RNAcentral lists this ribosomal RNA (433 nucleotides) under uncultured Dehalococcoidia bacterium. Its description in RNAcentral is "bacterial SSU rRNA". It matches the Rfam family "Bacterial small subunit ribosomal RNA", at positions 346 to 795 of the family's 1533-position model. Lineage: Bacteria; Bacillati; Chloroflexota; Dehalococcoidia. The record is from RNAcentral.